RNAcentral lists this ribosomal RNA (419 nucleotides) under uncultured eukaryote. Its description in RNAcentral is "bacterial SSU rRNA". It matches the Rfam family "Eukaryotic small subunit ribosomal RNA", at positions 592 to 1013 of the family's 1831-position model. The record is from RNAcentral.
CAAUAGCGUAUACUAACGUUGUUGCAGUUAAAAAGCUCGUAGUUGGAUUUCUGUUACGAUGAGCCGGCCGGCCCUUCGGGGUUGUAGCUAGGUUUCGUGGUAGCAUCUUGGCGCAAUCGCCGCUGGCAUUCGUUUGUUGGCGUGCGGGACCGCCUCGUUUACUUUGAGGAAAUUAGAGUGUUUCAAGCAGGCAUACGCCUUGAAUACAUUAGCAUGGAAUAAUAAGAUAGGACCUCGGUUCUAUUUUGUUGGUUUCUAGAGCUGAGGUAAUGAUUAAUAGGGAUAGUUGGGGGGCAUUCGUAUUUAACUGUCAGAGGUGAAAUUCUUGGAUUCGUUAAAGACGGACUACUGCGAAAGCAUUUGCCAAGGAUGUUUUCAUUGAUCAAGAACGAAAGUUAGGGGAUCGAAGAUGAUCAGAU